UACGGGGGGAGCAAGCGUUGUUCGGAUUUACUGGGCGUAAAGGGCGCGUAGGCGGUCAGCACAAGUCAGUUGUGAAAUCUCCGGGCUUAACUCGGAAAGGUCAACUGAUACUGUGCGACUAGAGUGCGAGAAGGGGCAACUGGAAUUCGUCGGUGUAGCGGUGAAAUGCGUAGAUAUCAGGAGGAACACCGGCGGUGUAGACGGCUUUCUGGACCGUAGCUGACGCUGAGACACGAAAGCGUGGGUAGCAAACAGG
This 256-nucleotide ribosomal RNA is filed under the name uncultured bacterium. RNAcentral describes it as "partial 16S ribosomal RNA". It matches the Rfam family "Bacterial small subunit ribosomal RNA", at positions 524 to 776 of the family's 1533-position model. The record is from RNAcentral.